GACGAACGCUGGCGGCGUGCUUAACACAUGCAAGUCGAACGGAAAGGCCCUGCUUUUGUGGGGUGCUCGAGUGGCGAACGGGUGAGUAACACGUGAGUAACCUGCCCUUGACUUUGGGAUAACUUCAGGAAACUGGGGCUAAUACCGGAUAGGAGCUCCUGCUGCAUGGUGGGGGUUGGAAAGUUUCGGCGGUUGGGGAUGGACUCGCGGCUUAUCAGCUUGUUGGUGGGGUAGUGGCUUACCAAGGCUUUGACGGGUAGCCGGCCUGAGAGGGUGACCGGCCACCUUGGGACUGGGAUACGGCCCAGCCUCCUACGGGAGGCAGCAGUGGGGAAUAUUGCACAAUGGGCGGAAGCCUGAUGCAGCACCGCCGCGUGCGGGAUGACGGCCUUCGGGUUGUAAACCGCUUUCGCCUGUGACGAAGCGUGAGUGACGGUAAUGGGUAAAGAAGCACCGGCUAACUACGUG
RNAcentral lists this ribosomal RNA (468 nucleotides) under uncultured bacterium. RNAcentral describes it as "partial 16S ribosomal RNA". It matches the Rfam family "Bacterial small subunit ribosomal RNA", at positions 28 to 507 of the family's 1533-position model. The record is from RNAcentral.